RNAcentral lists this small RNA (575 nucleotides) under Pongo abelii (Sumatran orangutan). RNAcentral's name for it is "processed transcript". The record is from RNAcentral. Lineage: Eukaryota; Metazoa; Chordata; Mammalia; Primates; Hominidae.
AGCAAUUUGGAAGCCCAAGGUGGGUGGAUCGCUUGAGCCCAGGAGUUCAAGACCAGCCUGGGCAACAUGAUGCUGAAGAAUACCAGCCUCCAAUAUGGAAAUCAUACUUAUAUCAGUUACAGCAAGAGGCACCUCGUCCCAAGAGAAUCAUUUGUCCUCGGGAGGUGGAAAACAGACCAAAAUAUUAUGGAAGAGAGUUUCACGGGAUCAUCUCCCGGGAGCAGGCGGAUGAGCUUCUUGGAGGCGUGGAGGGUGCCUACAUCCUUAGAGAAAGCCAGCGGCAACCAGGAUGCUACACGCUGGCUCUGAGGAUCAAACGACUCCAUGUGAUGGCCUGGGGUUAAGCCCCACCUCUGCCUCGUUCCAGUCAUGUAAACUCAAGCAGGAACCGCCAUCUCUUCAAGCAUCAGUUGCCUUUGCAGUUUGGAAACCAGACCUUAAACUACAGGCUCUUCCAUGACGGGAAACACUUUGUGGGUGAGAAGAGGUUUGAGUCGAUUCACGAUCUGGUGACAGAUGGCUUGAUAACACUGUACAUAGAAACAAAAGCUGCCGAGUACAUUUCAAAAAUGACA